Molecule: ribosomal RNA, 675 nt
Filed under: Sarcocystis arieticanis
Lineage: Eukaryota; Apicomplexa; Conoidasida; Eucoccidiorida; Sarcocystidae
Description: SSU rRNA
Rfam family: Eukaryotic small subunit ribosomal RNA
Source: RNAcentral
ACUGCGAAUGGCUCAUUAAAACAGUUAUAGUUUAUUUGAUAGUCAUCUGAGAUGAAAGUCUACUACAUGGAUAACCGUGGUAAUUCUAUGGCUAAUACAUGCGCAAAUAUCCUUUUUCGCAAGGAAGAGGAUAGUGUUUAUUAGAUACAGAACCAAUACACCAGUGUCACAGCUGGUGUGAAAAAGGUGAUUCAUAGUAACCGAACGGAUCGCAUUAUGGUCAUUCUUUUGUAAUGGCUGGCGAUAGAUCAUUCAAGUUUCUGACCUAUCAGCUUUCGACGGUAGUGUAUUGGACUACCGUGGCAGUGACGGGUAACGGGGAAUUAGGGUUCGAUUCCGGAGAGGGAGCCUGAGAAACGGCUACCACAUCUAAGGAAGGCAGCAGGCGCGCAAAUUACCCAAUCCUGACUCAGGGAGGUAGUGACAAGAAAUAACAACACUGGAAAUUUUAUUUCUAGUGAUUGGAAUGAUGGGAAUUUAAACCCCUUUCAGAGUAACAAUUGGAGGGCAAGUCUGGUGCCAGCAGCCGCGGUAAUUCCAGCUCCAAUAGCGUAUAUUAAAGUUGUUGCAGUUAAAAAGCUCGUAGUUGGAUGUCUGCUGGAAGCAAUCAGUCCGCCCUAUUUGUAGGGUGUGCACUUGAUGAAUUCUGGCAUUUUUGUCCCAAUGAUGUAACGG